This is a small nucleolar RNA of Bubo bubo (Eurasian eagle-owl), 114 nucleotides long. NCBI's taxonomy places the organism in Eukaryota, Metazoa, Chordata, Aves, Strigiformes, Strigidae. The record is from Ensembl.
UGCGGCUGUGUCAAAUUCAGUCCUCGUCCAGCCAAACGGCUGCCACAGCGCAGCUUGUGAGCCCCACCGCCCCUCUCCCUCCACCCUGGGGAUAAAUAAACGCUCCAGACACCA